ACACAAGAAAACAGCUCCUGCUUCUCUGCUCGUGGUGCUGACGGUGCCGGACAGCCGUUGGCUUGGUGCCAUAUACACCCGCCUCACACGCGAAGGCCGACUUCGCUGCCUACACCAGAAGACGCUCACAUCGAGAAAGGACGAGGAGGGAGGGAGGGAGGGCAGCAGGGGUACGCACCGCCCCCGCGCACAUUCUUCCGCAUAGCGGUGAACACACACACGUGAAGGGGUGAAUGCGGGGUGCAGUUUGUGCGUCUAUGCGUGCAUACGCGGUGCAUCAGAAUGAGGCGGACUCUCAAGGGCUGCUGUAUUCACCGCUGGAUAGAAGGGCGCUCCUGCUCCGGAUGCUGUGGUGGCUGCUUUGACGCCGCCUCUGCAGCAGCACCAGCAGCUGCUGCUCGUGUGCCCCCAUGGCAGGACUUCUAUGAAUACCGCAGUUAUCACACGCUCGCGCGCUGCACGCUUCGGAUCUCUUCCUGUCGCUCUCAGCAUCCCUAUCGGCUGAUUCGUGCGUACUUGAGAGGCGCAGAACUCUCGUUGCGCAUGAGCGGCGCCAUAAGCUGCACGGCGCGUACCUACAGCGCGCAGGCGUACGCGCACGAGGAGGGCGCCGAUGAUGACGAGGAUGACUACCUGCAGGCCUACGAGGAACUACUGCUAAAUGCGGCUUCUAAUGCGGCGGCCGAUGACGCCGCUCCCCAGCCCGGCGGCACGUGCAGCGAGGGGGUUGCCCAUCUUGACAAGGAGGCUGGUGCUCACGUGGACGGUGCUUUUCCUUCCUUUGAGAGUCCGGCGUCGGUGCCAUUGCCAGCUGAUGCGCUCGUGGAAGACACACUGGCAGCCCUGCCCGCCGAUGGCUCGACCGUGCUGCUGACUGACCUCACCCGCUCACUUGACGUGGAGGCGAUCAGCGAGCUCUUCGGCUCCGUGCUGUCUUUCGUGCAGCUCCACCCGCAUCUCUUUACUUGCACCCAGGACCCCGAUACAGGUAGGUGGCACGUAGCGCGAGGUCUCUCGUCAACCUCGCCGCUCAACGCAGACGCUGCCACCGCUGCAGCGCCUGGCCUAGCAUCUGCCAUUGGUGGAGGCGAAGAGGAUGACCACAAGGCCAUAAUUGUCGACCUCGAUGUGGCGGCGAUGGUGCUGGGCGAGGAGCUAAGGCAUUUAUGUGGCAGCCGUUACUCGUCGCAGACAAGAGCGCAUGAAGCCGAAGCCGCGCACUCCGCGGUAAAGCGAUCGAGGCGUCGCUUAACACCCGCUGCAGUACCUAACCCUCUUUUUCCGACAUCAGGCACUGGCGCUGCCCGCGAUGGCGUAUCGUUGACGACCCCCGAGCAGGCAUGGUGGCCGACCAUUGCGAGCCUCUUGCCCGAGGACGGUACCCCUCUUCCCAUUUCAGUGCUGCGUGCGUCGCUGCCGGGGCCGAUCGCGCAGGAGCUGCGCGCUCGACAAGUGGGUCUGGCUCGGUGCUUCAAGCAGACCUACGCCAUAGCCAGUCGUCAUGUGGCGCUCACGGCAGACUCGACGGCGCUCGUUCGUGCUGCAGUGCAGCGCUCGAACAGCUGCGCAGCCGCCUCCGUUUCAUUGUGGUCUCCGGAGGGCCAAAAGGCGGCAGCUUGGACCAACCACAAGGAGUCGUCGGUGGCGGCUUUCUCCUCUUUCUUGUGCGACGCCGGGGAUGGCUCGUACGUGCCACCCCCGGCGGACUACGACGCGUCGCAGGAUGCAGAGCCGUGGCUGGUAACGAUUUCGCUAGACGACGGCGAGGAGGCGGGCCCGGAGGAGGUGCCUCCUGCGUCAGGCGAUGUGGACGAGGGGGCGCUGGGGCGGAGCGCCGACGCCGCAACUGCGCUGGCGGCUGCGACUGGGCUUCAAGAGAUACCUUACAAUGGCCUCAGUGGUGCUAGUGGGAGGGCGGCGACACAGGCUCAUGGAACAGGCUUGCAGCCGCACGACUUGAAUCUCGAGCGGUUGUAUGACGCCCCAGCGCCGCCGACGGCGGUCGUGAGGAGCAAGCCUUCGACUGCGACGCAGCUAGCAGGCCCUGCUGGUGCGGUGCGCACGGUGCGUCCCCCUCGCCCGUCGACGCCAGCCGAGUGGCUAGCCUUGCACACCGCCAUGGCCGAGGCGCGUGGUUGGAUCACGCCGAUGCAGAUGCUGGAUUACCUGGUCGAGUGCGUGCCCACCUUUUUCAUCCCUUUGGAGGAGUUGCGCCCGUCGGACGCUAUCCUGAAGCUUGUUGGCGCGCGCACGAGCAUGCGCACGCUGGUAUGUCGGGUCUACAUGUACUUUGUGGAGAGGUCGGAGGAUAAGAUGCAGAUCCGACUGGCGCCAACCCUCGAGCACGCGCAGCGCGGCGCAGCCAACGCGCACUACGCGGCAUGGAACCCUGACACGGCGAACAAGUGUGAGCAGUGUGGUGCCGAUGCAACGCCGAGCGAAGCGCCAGCACCAACGAACGCCGGCACCGGCACCGGCACCGCCGCUAACCCAGGCGACCGCCAAGACAGUGCUACUCACAGCGGCCCCAGGAGCGGCGGCACUGUGUUGCAGUCUAGCGAUACGACGAAGGCCUUUCCGGUCAUGCGUGUGCGGAGGCCCAUCAAAAGCCUACUCAGCGUGAGGUCGUUCAAAGCCAUGCCCGCCACUGCCAAGGCGGCUGCAUCGCCUGCAGCCUUGCCCACCGCCAUGCGGCUGAGCUCCCCUGAUGCACAAGCAGGAGCCAGCACAGGUGCCGGAUCGAGCUCCACUCCCACCGCCCUCAAAGGCGGCGGUGGCUUUAUCGCGUUGUCCUCGGUGCCGACUGGCGAGAUCGGUUACCCGUUUCUGGCCUUAGCCACUCAGCCGGUGCACACGUGGCCGUGGUGGGCAAGGCUACUGUGCGUGUUGCCGUUUGACACGUACGUGCCACUGGACCAUCUCCGCAUCCACUACUGUCCUGACCUUGCGCCCGAAAACGUCCAUCUCGCUUGGAGGGCCGCGGACGCGUCGUUUUUGCCGACAACGUCGUCCGAAAAGGUGCGCACGCCGAUCCCGUUCUCACUGCUUCGUGCGCCGACGACCUCUCGUAGAGUGCGACUGCGCCCUUUUUGGCUGUCACCAGGCUGCACGGCAGAGCUGGAGAGCACGGUGAUGCCGGUGGGCCUCGUGAAGCAGCUGCGCCCAGUGUGGCUGCCAGUCUCACGCCUGCUAUCCAAGCUGACCCCUGAGGAGCGAGAAGAGAGCUUGGCCUUGGCUGUCCGUCGCCCUUCCGCUGCUGGCCUAUCCGCCGACGAAGCACUCGUCAUGCUGCUGCGUGAUUGCGGGCGCUGUUGCUGGGUGCAAGAGGACGGUGCAAAGGUGCGUAGGUAUGCGGCUUCCAGCGCGCUGGACGACCACUUUCACGCCUCGCUUUCACUGCUGUACGGCUUCAGCUCCGCGCGUGUGUGGGAGCCUCUGCCGGUGGUGUUGGACCGCGCGUCGGAGCACGUGCGCUCUCUCUUCGCACAUUCACAAAUGCCCCCACUGGCGUCUCCGAACACGGUUGGGCUGAUUGGCAUGCUGCGUCAAGCACCGCCUGCAGCGCUCAAAGCAUUUCUCAUGCGACAUGCGCAGUGGCUGGAAGUGAAGGCGACCGAUGGCAGGGAGACGAGGGACGAGGCGGCGGCCCCGUUGCUCGUACGCAGGCGUGCGGCUCUGGUCUCGUUCUGAAGAGAGCCAGAGAGGAGCGCGCGGGUGCUCGUGUGAGAGGCACUGGACGGAGUGGCAAUCUAGUUGUCGGCGCUUCUCGUGCUGCACAUGCGUGACUGUCCAUCGCUGGGGCAGAGAUAACACGUUGGUAUCUCGUUCACGCAUAUAUGUCCUCCAACGGACCUUUUCUGAGGCAGGAAUACAUGCACGCAUAUGAUGGGCGGCAGCCUCGAUGCACACGACCAGGUCAUCACAUCGGUUUCUUGUUGUUUUCUUUCUUCCUCUUUUCAGCUGCUCGUGAUGCGUGGAAAGUCACUGUGCGGCGCAGGCGCGAAGGGACGACACGCUUGCCGCGGGAUGCGGAGCGGAGCUGUGCUUAUCGGUUGUCAUACGCAUAACCGCACAAAACGUUGAUGCGCGUGACGUAACGGCUACCACUACAGCGAGUGAGCGGCGGUUGUUUUGUUCCUGAUAAAUCCGCGCGUACGCAUCCACCGGGCGUUUGCUUGUUGCUGGGGUGACAUUCGCACGCCUUUCGCUCGAAGCCGGGCA
RNAcentral lists this unclassified non-coding RNA (4221 nucleotides) under Leishmania donovani. RNAcentral describes it as "gene:LdHU3.18.1880(CDS-product:hypothetical_prote in_conserved)". Lineage: Eukaryota; Euglenozoa; Kinetoplastea; Trypanosomatida; Trypanosomatidae. The record is from RNAcentral.